GGGUUGUGAGGUUAAGCGACUAAGCGUACACGGUGGAUGCCCUGGCAGUCAGAGGCGAUGAAGGACGUGCUAAUCUGCGAUAAGCGUCGGUGAGGUGAUAUGAACCGUUAUAACCGGCGAUUUCCGAAUGGGGAAACCCAGUGUGUUUCGACACACUAUCAUUAACUGAAUCCAUAGGUUAAUGAGGCGAACCGGGGGAACUGAAACAUCUAAGUACCCCGAGGAAAAGAAAUCAACCGAGAUUCCCCCAGUAGCGGCGAGCGAACGGGGAGGAGCCCAGAGCCUGAAUCAGUGUGUGUGUUAGUGGAAGCGUCUGGAAAGGCGCGCGAUACAGGGUGACAGCCCCGUACACAAAAAUGCACAUACUGUGAGCUCGAUGAGUAGGGCGGGACACGUGGUAUCCUGUCUGAAUAUGGGGGGACCAUCCUCCAAGGCUAAAUACUCCUGACUGACCGAUAGUGAACCAGUACCGUGAGGGAAAGGCGAAAAGAACCCCGGCGAGGGGAGUGAAAAAGAACCUGAAACCGUGUACGUACAAGCAGUGGGAGCCUCUUAAUGGGGUGACUGCGUACCUUUUGUAUAAUGGGUCAGCGACUUAUAUUCUGUAGCAAGGUUAACCGAAUAGGGGAGCCGAAGGG
This 638-nucleotide ribosomal RNA is filed under the name Escherichia coli. RNAcentral describes it as "partial 23S ribosomal RNA". It matches the Rfam family "Bacterial large subunit ribosomal RNA", at positions 1 to 673 of the family's 2925-position model. The record is from RNAcentral. Lineage: Bacteria; Pseudomonadati; Pseudomonadota; Gammaproteobacteria; Enterobacterales; Enterobacteriaceae.